Molecule: ribosomal RNA, 253 nt
Filed under: uncultured bacterium
Lineage: Bacteria
Description: partial 16S ribosomal RNA
Rfam family: Bacterial small subunit ribosomal RNA
Source: RNAcentral
UACGAAGGGGGCUAGCGUUGCUCGGAAUCACUGAGCGUAAAGCGCACGUAGGCGGAUUGUUAAGUCGGGGGUGAAAUCCUGGAGCUCAACUCCAGAACUGCCUUCGAUACUGACGAUCUCGAGUCCGGGAGAGGUGAGUGGAACUCCGAGUGUAGAGGUGAAAUUCGUAGAUAUUCGGAAGAACACCAGUGGCGAAGGCGGCUCACUGGCCCGGUACUGACGCUGAGGUGCGAAAGCGUGGGGAGCAAACAGG